UCAGAUUGAACGCUGGCGGCAGGCCUAACACAUGCAAGUCGAGCGGUAACAUUUCUAGCUUGCUAGAAGAUGACGAGCGGCGGACGGGUGAGUAAUACUUGGGGAUCUGCCUGAUGGCGGGGGACAACCACUGGAAACGGUGGCUAAUACCGCAUAAUGCCUACGGGCCAAAGUGUGGGACCUUCGGGCCACAUGCCAUCAGAUGAACCCAAGCGAGAUUAGCUAGUUGGUGAGGUAACGGCUCACCAAGGCGACGAUCUCUAGCUGGUCUGAGAGGAUGAUCAGCCACACUGGGACUGAGACACGGCCCAGACUCCUACGGGAGGCAGCAGUGGGGAAUAUUGGACAAUGGGCGCAAGCCUGAUCCAGCCAUGCCGCGUGUGUGAAGAAGGCCUUCGGGUUGUAAAGCACUUUCAGUGGUGAGGAAGGCGUUGUCGUUAAUAGCGGCAACGAUUGACGUUAGCCACAGAAGAAGCACCGGCUAACUCCGUGCCAGCAGCCGCGGUAAUACGGAGGGUGCGAGCGUUAAUCGGAAUUACUGGGCGUAAAGCGCACGUAGGCGGUUUGUUAAGCAAGAUGUGAAAGCCCAGGGCUCAACCUUGGAAUUGCAUUUUGAACUGGCAAGCUAGAGUUUUGAAGAGGGUGGUAGAAUUUCCAGUGUAGCGGUGAAAUGCGUAGAUAUUGG
This 685-nucleotide ribosomal RNA is filed under the name uncultured bacterium. Its description in RNAcentral is "bacterial SSU rRNA". It matches the Rfam family "Bacterial small subunit ribosomal RNA", at positions 24 to 700 of the family's 1533-position model. The record is from RNAcentral.